AAGAGCAACGUCGACGUCGAGUCGCUGAUUGAGAAGCUCCCCAACCUAAACCCUCUUAAAUCCUCUACCGAAGAGAAACCCACCUCGGAAAGUGGGCCCUCGGCGGCUGUGGUGGAGGAGAAGAAGAGAAACCGGACGGCGGAGCUGGCGGCCACAAGCGGCGGCGCUCUGGCAUUGGCUUUUCUCUGCAACAAGGCUCUGUUUCCGAUUCGGGUUCCGAUUACGCUGGCGGUUACGCCUCCUUUGGCUAAGUUCUUGGCCAGGAGGAGGCUUAUCA
RNAcentral lists this long non-coding RNA (277 nucleotides) under Fragaria vesca (wild strawberry). Its description in RNAcentral is "long non-coding RNA (FVES_LNC000776)". The record is from RNAcentral. Lineage: Eukaryota; Viridiplantae; Streptophyta; Magnoliopsida; Rosales; Rosaceae.